This is a long non-coding RNA of Oryzias melastigma (Indian medaka), 948 nucleotides long. RefSeq lists it as uncharacterized. The transcript is spliced from 2 exons. The record is from RefSeq and is a predicted model, not a curated record. Lineage: Eukaryota; Metazoa; Chordata; Actinopteri; Beloniformes; Adrianichthyidae.
UAACCUGAAUAAAAAGGAAAAAUGUGUAAAAUAAAUCAUAAUAAUUUGAUUUAAAUACAGAAAUGCUGAUUUGUGCUAUUUUCUUUUAUUUUUGCAUCAAACAGAGGAAGAAACUAGCUGACUCUGCACUCUGCUCUGUCAUCAGAACAGGAAAAGUAAAAAAAAAAAAAACAUAUUUCCAGUUAAUCAACGACAGACAAAACUCCUUAAAAGGUGAAGAUAAACAGAAGAAGAGAGAAGAAGAACUAAAGUCAACAAGAAUCUAGAGAUGGAGGAGAAAUGGUGAAACUCUCAUCCGUCAAGUGAACUUCUCUUACUUUCUUUCUUUCUUUUUUACUAUUCUUACAUUUAAUUACAGGUUCUUAAAAAAAAAAAAAAAAACCUCAACGACUCUUUUAGACUCUCAAGAGUUCAGCUGCUGGAGGUCAGCGGUCCUCUCAGAAGUUAUGCAACCUUUGGAUGUGGUGCAUACCUGUGUCGAUGAGCUCCCAGAGCCUGGAGCUGCAGAGACAGGAGGAGCAGCAGGACACAGAGCCAUGCCGGAGAGGAGGCGCGCAUGGUGGGGAGAUAUGAUCCAAAAUUCACCAAAAAAUAAUAUAAGAAAAAAUAUCCUUUGCAAAAAAGAAAACUGCAGGAUUGUCUAACCUGAAGAAGCUUCCAUUGAGUCACUUAUAGAUAGAUGGCUGUCAGAGUCAGCAUCUCAGGAUGCAAUCACAGCAUCCUUCACACACUGAAAAUGUCAGAUUGUGCAGCACAAAUUGGUCAAACUUGCGUUUUUUUCAUUUAUAAAGGCGUGCUGGAGGAGAAGGAGGAGGUAGAGGUGGGAGGGGGACGGCUUACUGCCUCGUCCUUCUCAGCAACUUAACCUCACACGGACACAACAAGCUAAUUAAACGUGGACAGUUCCACUUACCUUAAACCACUCGGUUGUAGAAGGAAAAAAAAAAA